AUUUAAAUAGCUUAAUUGUAGAGCGUGAUAUUGAAGAUAUUAAAGUAACUAGUUAGUUUUUAAAUA
Molecule: transfer RNA, 66 nt
Filed under: Cucujoidea sp. 9 KM-2017
Lineage: Eukaryota; Metazoa; Arthropoda; Insecta; Coleoptera
Description: tRNA-Phe
Source: RNAcentral